GAUGAACGCUGGCGGCGUGCCUAAUACAUGCAAGUAGAACGCUGAAGGAGGAGCUUGCUCUUCUGGAUGAGUUGCGAACGGGUGAGUAACGCGUAGGUAACCUGCCUGGUAGCGGGGGAUAACUAUUGGAAACGAUAGCUAAUACCGCAUGACAACAGUUAUUGCAUGAUAACUGUUUAAAAGGGGCAACUGCUCCACUACCAGAUGGACCUGCGUUGUAUUAGCUAGUUGGUGAGGUAACGGCUCACCAAGGCGACGAUACCUAUCCGACCUGAGAGGGUGAUCGGCCACACUGGGACUGAGACACGGCCCAGACGCCUACGGGAGGCGGCAGUAGGGAAUCUUCGGCAAGGGACGGAAGUCUGACCGAGCAACGCCGCGUGAGUGAAGAAGGUUUUCGGAUCGUAAAGCUCUGUUGUAAGAGAAGAAAGAGUGUGAGAGUGGAAAGUUCACACUGUGACGGUAUCUUACCAGAAAGGGACGGCUAACUACGUG
Molecule: ribosomal RNA, 495 nt
Filed under: uncultured bacterium
Lineage: Bacteria
Description: partial 16S ribosomal RNA
Rfam family: Bacterial small subunit ribosomal RNA
Source: RNAcentral